Molecule: long non-coding RNA, 317 nt
Organism: Prunus persica (peach)
Lineage: Eukaryota; Viridiplantae; Streptophyta; Magnoliopsida; Rosales; Rosaceae
Exons: 3
Source: RefSeq, a predicted model, not a curated record
UGUACAAGGAAAUCGGAUUUCUUCCAUGGUAGCGUGCCGCCGAUAACUUUGCAACUGCUGAUGUGAAAACAUAUUUGUUGACUGCUAUUAGUGGAGGCUUAAACCAGCAAAGAAGAGGGCUGGGCCAGAAAUUAUUUUGGAAGGAUUCCAGGUCAUUUUCACCAUAUCACAGAUACAAAACUACUGUGAAGGUCCAUGUAAGCAAAACUGUCUGUGGAUUAAUAUUGUUAUUCGGGUAUUUGGUGCAGCAACUUUGAUGAAAUCUUUGAUGUAGACUGGUUUAUAUAAUCUCUAUCAAAAUAUGUUGAAAUCAUUAA